Long non-coding RNA from Corvus hawaiiensis (hawaiian crow), 351 nucleotides. RefSeq lists it as uncharacterized. The transcript has 4 exons. The record is from RefSeq and is a predicted model, not a curated record. NCBI's taxonomy places the organism in Eukaryota, Metazoa, Chordata, Aves, Passeriformes, Corvidae.
GGAGCCGGAAUUCCAAAGGUUGGAUCCAAAGGGAGCCGGAAUUCCAAAGGUGGGAUCCAAAGGGAGCCAGAAUUCCGGGAAAGGUGGGAUCCAAAGGGAGUCGGAAUUCCAAAGGUCGGAUCCAAAGGGAGCCCGGAAUUCCAAAGGUGGGAUCCAAAGGGAGCCCGGAAUUCCGGGAAAGGGAAAGGUGGGAUCCAAAGGGAGCCCAGAAUUCCAGGAAAAUCAAAGGGAAAGGCCGGAUCCAAAAGGAGUCAGAAUUCCGGGAAAGGCCGGAUCCAGAGGGAGCCGGAAUUCCGGGAAUUCCAAAGGUGGGAUCCAAAGGGAGCCAGAAUUCCAGGAGAUCCAAAGGGA